This 122-nucleotide ribosomal RNA is filed under the name Pteropus alecto (black flying fox). Lineage: Eukaryota; Metazoa; Chordata; Mammalia; Chiroptera; Pteropodidae. The record is from RNAcentral.
GUCUACAGCCAUGCCACCCUGGACAAACCUGAUGUCUGACUUUCUUCUUGGAAGCUAAGCAGGGUUGGGCCUGGUGAGUACUUGGGUGGGAGACCACCUAGGAAUACCCGGUACCCUAGGGA